GUUACUUCAAAACACUUAAUUUGGCUGGUCACAUCCUCUGUAGCCAGCAGCUGUCAAGAGCUAACUUCCAGAAAAGUAAUAAAAAGGCUGGACAAUUACACUAUGCCACACUUGGGUAGAAUAUCCUUCCCUCACCCCUGAAGGUGAACAGUUAGCAUCUGACAUGAAGUAAGAUCCUGGCAUCCUUUGUUUGCAUAUUCACAAAUACUGGUAAUGAUCACUGGGGUUUAGCCCAGUUUCUCCGGGAAGUGAGAAUUCAUGCUGUUCUCCCUGAAUUUAAAGAAAUCCCUGCGGCUGUUUGUUUAGCAGAUCAUUCAAAGCACUUCGCUGGAGAAAUGUAUUAAAUAUACAGGCUGAGAAUUGGGAAUUUUCACACACAAAUCAAUUCUGACAAGAGCAGACCAGAAACAAAUGCUCAGGUUAGUUUAAUAUUCCACCCUGACAGCCCAUGUGGAGAGCUGACAACCACUCGCCUGGCUCGGACUAUUGGAAAGCAUCAAAGAAUUUUCAAAAUUUGGCAGCACUUAGUGCAACUGCAAUUGUUGACAAGACAGGACUUGAGCCCUGGUGGUUCCUGGAGGCGAUUCUGCACAGAAAGUCAUGGUAGAAUGAAGCACUUAUAAAUCUGAUUUAAAACUUGCAACUCUUAAUGGUGUAAUAUCCAAGACUUCAGGCUGUCAUAGUUGAAGAUCAUUAGGAAAGCUGUCACAAACUCUUUUCUUGACCUGUUGAGAGAGUUCACGGUCUAGAAAAACCAUUUGACUCACAUGAGUUUCUACUUUUCAAAGUUUUUUGCAUUUUUGAGAGAUUUUUUUUUGCCACUGAAGGAGGCAGUAGAAGGAAAGCAAGAGAGUUGUUGAUGCAUAUUGUGUGUAGCACUUUGUCAAAUCAUGCAGGGACAGCAUUGGAGUUCCUCCAACUCUGUGUAACUGAGGACCUCCAGAAGAGAAACCUUGACUCGGUUUCUGGCAUCUGCAGCAGGAGACAGGCAGGAGACGGAGCCAGGAGCGAUAAAGCGCAAGGAUUUAAGGUGGCAGCCUGAACUUUGGAAGCAGAUACUUGCAUUGGCAGGAGCUGAAACAGCCCCAGGAUCACAAAGAACACCUACUGAACCAACACAAGGAUCAUGCUGCACAGUCUCUCCUUUCACCGUCCAUGUGGUGUUUGGGACCGAGACAUGAAUUUGCAAGGAAGCUGCAGAAGUAGUUUAAACCAAAAUAAAUGUUAUGAGGUUUUACGCUUUGACAUGAACUUUCUGUGCCUAUCUGAAAAGUCCAAUUUCCUAUCUUUCACUGUUUUGCACUCUCAGAAGAGUUCAUUCUAGCUUUAUUCUGUAUUUAUCUCUAUGUUUCUUCAUUCUGUUUUUUUAUUGUUUCCUGUGCUGUUACAAUCCUCCUGCUUCUCCCUGAUGAUCAGCUGCUUUCACAUGGGUCCCCUUUUUUCAACCCCAUCCGUCCUUCUUGUCUGCCUUGAGCUCUUCCAGGUUCCCGCAGGCGAUUGUCUACGAUGGACCCUGCGCUCAGAACCACCCCCCGAUCCCUUCCAGUACCCCUCCACACACGGUGCACGUCCUCCCACCGCUCCUGCAUCCUGCCGUACGUGAUGCUUGACUGAGGCUUGCAAUGGGAGAGAGUGUAGGCAGCGGUGGAAACCAAGGCAGCCUGGAGAACAGAAAUCCCAUGCAAGCUGCUUGUUUUUUCUCAGUGAAAGGAGAAGUUUUGUAUCUUCAUCUUUAUGUUGAAUGGGCUUAAGCACUGACCUGGAAGUUGAGUGAAAAAUGUGUGAAACAGCUGCCAUAGCUUAGUGCAACUUGUUGAAGCUUGGACAAGCCCUUCACUGCCCUACCCCAAGGCACUAGGAACAGAAAAAUGAACCUGGAGGCCCUUGGUUCUGCAGAAGGCUCCCAGCCAGCUAGGUCUGUCCUACCCUGCCUCCUCCUUUGCCUCGCUGGUCUGGAAACAUCUGUCUCCCGAGCACAGCUGCUCCCAGGAAUUGCUGCUCCAGUGGGCACCACAGAGCCUUCUGCAGGGCAGCCUGAAGAAAGAAACCGCUUGUGUCCCCGCAGAAGAAACACAACGCAGAGCAACUGUCAUGGCUGACAGGCAGAGGAGACCAGAAACCAGAGCAUUUGCAUUUCAUCGGGUAGAUUGGAUACGGGAAGUACUAACAGGCAUGCCUUUUUAUAAAGGUUGCUCUAAAAGUGGCAAUGCUGUCAGCAGUUACACUUUGCUGCUUGCCUGGAGUAUUAAGCGUUCCUGAAUGGCUGCAGUCUCUGCUUUUCAACAGCAACUAAGCUCACAGGCAACACUCACAAGGGACUCAGCUACUGGAAAGAAAAAGUCAAGACUCACGUUACAAAGACGGACUUCUACUGGCAUCUGCACCACGCACUGCUGCCAACAGAGAAAAUGGAAGCUGUUGCUUCAACCUUCCCAUUAGGAAGUCAUGAUCACCCUGGGAUUUCCUUAAGCCCCCAUCCCUUUAUUCCUCCCUGGCACACAGGAGGAGGUUUGAAGACACGAAGAUCUGGCUCUCAUAAGAUUUCUGAUUUUUCUAACAAGAAAAAGGAACUUACUAAGGAGGGUACCAAAUUUGCAGAUUUUCUGUCUGAAUAUAUUUAUUUACAUAGACUCACUUCGUGGCCUAAGCCAGAUUUUUAAUUCUGUACUAUCUGUCUUGAUUAGGUUAAUACAGAUAUAAAUGUAAAUUUCAUUUUCUCUUUUUGAAGGACACCUUGUAAUGAGAUUAUCCGUAAACUGAUCUUUGCUAUCUGUCUCCCCCUGUUAGCUUCUUAUUGCCAGGUGUGAAAUAAAUACAUGCAUUAUCUUUUGAA
Molecule: long non-coding RNA, 2833 nt
Organism: Aquila chrysaetos chrysaetos
Lineage: Eukaryota; Metazoa; Chordata; Aves; Accipitriformes; Accipitridae
Exons: 5
Source: RefSeq, a predicted model, not a curated record